Molecule: ribosomal RNA, 371 nt
Filed under: uncultured organism
Description: partial 16S ribosomal RNA
Rfam family: Bacterial small subunit ribosomal RNA
Source: RNAcentral
GUAGGUGGCAAGCGUGUCCGGAAUUAUUGGGCGUAAAGCGCGCGCAGGCGGUUCUUUAAGUCUGAUGUGAAAGCCCACGGCUCAACCGUGGAGGGUCAUUGGAAACUGGAGAACUUGAGUACAGAAGAGGAAAGCGGAAUUCCACGUGUAGCGGUGAAAUGCGUAGAGAUGUGGAGGAACACCAGUGGCGAAGGCGGCUUUCUGGUCUGUAACUGACGCUGAGGCGCGAAAGCGUGGGGAGCAAACAGGAUUAGAUACCCUGGUAGUCCACGCCGUAAACGAUGAGUGCUAAGUGUUAGGGGGUUUCCGCCCCCCUUAGUGCUGCAGCUAACGCAUUAAGCACUCCGCCUGGGAGUACGGCCGCAAGGCUG